GGAGAGAUGGCCGAGUGGCCGAAGGCGGCGGUUUGCUAAACCGUUAUAUGGGUCAUGCCGUAUCGAGGGUUCGAAUCCCUCUCUCUCCGCCA
Molecule: transfer RNA, 92 nt
Filed under: Rickettsia helvetica
Lineage: Bacteria; Pseudomonadati; Pseudomonadota; Alphaproteobacteria; Rickettsiales; Rickettsiaceae
Also listed under: 2 other names
Description: tRNA-Ser(gct)
Rfam family: tRNA
About the family: Transfer RNA (tRNA) molecules are approximately 80 nucleotides in length. Their secondary structure includes four short double-helical elements and three loops (D, anti-codon, and T loops).
Source: RNAcentral